This is a long non-coding RNA of Cavia porcellus (domestic guinea pig), 19884 nucleotides long. RefSeq lists it as uncharacterized. NCBI's taxonomy places the organism in Eukaryota, Metazoa, Chordata, Mammalia, Rodentia, Caviidae. The transcript has 3 exons. The record is from RefSeq and is a predicted model, not a curated record.
CGGAAGAACGCAGCCGCAAAGGAAGUAUCGCUCUGUCCUCCCUCUUUCUCGCCGCUCCCCAGCGACCUCUUCCUGGUGUGACCUCCUCCCCCGGGAUGCAGCCUUUUGGAGCCGGCGCUUUCCCGCCGCCCCGCGCUGCCUUACUCGGCGCCCGCCUAGGAUUCGGAAGUGGGCGGGAGGGCCAGCCGUCCUGUCCUGAUGUCGGCUUAAGUUAGCGAGGACCAGACAAAUGACAGUGGCGACUUGGGGAGUCUUCCGUAAAAUGUGCAGGAUCUGCCACUGGGAACUGGGUGUCGAUUACACGUCCUGUUAGCGGUGUGUGCGUGCUAAUACUCCAAAGCAGACUGCAGUGCAGUGCGCAAAGAGCAGGUUGACAUUGUUAUGUUCCUACCGUCUUGUUAUGAACUUUUGUACCGUUGUUUUUAUUGAUUUUUUUUCCUUACAAUAAAAUGUUUUUAAAAGCAGGUUUAAAUUUUUAGUCAUAAUUGAGGUGGGUUUGUGAACAACAAAUAUAGGAAUCCAAGCAGCCAAAUUGAUAAAUUUGGAAUUUAAUUAACUGAGCUAAGGAUCAUUCAUACAGACACACACACACACACACACACACACACACACACGCACGCACGCACACACACACCGGUUCAGGGUCCAAACAAGUGGCACCAAACUAAAGUUACAAGAGAUUUUAAAAAAGAAUCACAAAAGACAUCCUGUUGGAAACAAUUUAGCUCGAAUCUUUCAUUAGUUUUUGAGUGACACCUGUAUCCUGCUUCUUUUGUUAAGCAGGUUAAUUUUUCUCCUGUAGAUACAGCUUAUUCUGCUUUUCUCAUAGGACUUAUACCCUAAGUAAUUUUCCUGAGUCAAAUACAGGGCAUUAGUUGACUAGGGGUCAAGAUAGUGUCAGUUAUGCCAAGCUACAACAAUAAUGAGCCCAAAAUAAGUACAGAUGGUCCCUAUUUAUGGUAUUUUCUACUUAAAGUGGGGUUAAGUCCCUGUCAUAAAUGAAAGAGCAACUAUACUAAGAACCUCAACAAAAUCAUAGCUCCCAGCGUGGUGGCACAUGCCUGCAAUCCCAGCUCUCAGGAAGCUGAGGCAGGAGGAUCACCAUGAGUUUGACGCCAGCCUGAGCUACAAAGUGGGCUCAAGGCUAGCCUAAACUGUAUAGUUGAGACCCUGUCUCAAAAAGACAAAAAAAAAAUUCUGCUGGGCCUGAUGUCACAUGCCUGUAAUCCCAGGACCCAAGAGGCUGAGGCAAGAGGAUCACUGAGAGUUCAAGGCCAGCCUGGACUACAUAGCAAGACCCUGUCUCCAAAAAAAAAGUUCUCUCUUAAUCUUCCAUAUUGUUACAAUAACUGUCAUUUAACCAGAAAGUUAAUGGUCUGAGCAGUGAUAUUCCAGGGCCUGUCUUGUGAAUGGCUGCUCUUCCCAGCAACACCACAGAAUUUGGAGUCUGAAUUCAGACCCAAUGCCUAUGUAUUUUUAUUGUUUGAUAAAGAUAGUGUUUCAAAUCAACUGAAAAAGGCAUGUUUAUUUUUUUAAAUGGUGCUGGGAUUUGGGAGGAAAGGUUAGAUCCUGUUUUGGAGACAAGGCCUCACUACCUUACCCAGAAACCCUGUAGCCUCAGCCUCUGAGUAAUGUACCUGGGUCACACCCCAGCUUUAGUCUUUUAUCAAAGUCCACACCCAAAUGAAUUACAUUAGAAUUCAAGCGUAAAGUGUUAAACACACAAGUACAUAUGAAGCAAGAUAUUUAAAAGAAUACAUGCAUAUCCAACCUCAAAAUGGAGAAGGGCUUUUCUAAGUAUAAAUUUAGUAUAGUAUAAGCCAAGAGUGGUAGCCUACAUCUCUAAUUCCAGGACCUAGGAGGCUGAGGCAGGAAGAUUGCUUGAAUUUAGGCCAGCCUGGACUACAUAGUGAGACCCAGGCUCAAAAACAAAAAAACCUCAAACAGCAAACUUGAGAAUUAAGCCAUAAAAUAAAAAUCAAUAAAUGUAACUACAUAAAACCUUUUCAAACUUCUGUAAGAUUGUAUCGAUGCCAGUGAUCAGGAAGAGCCUUUUCCUCCCCCAGUCUUUACUCCAGAGAGUUCUGACCUUCCUGGACUCCUGAAAAACCAGAUCACUUGUCUCUUUUUAUUUAUGUAUUUUAUCACAACUUGUUUUAGGAGACUGGGAGCCUGGUCAGCCUCCGACAGAAAAGAUUUCUGCAGCCUCCGACAGAAAAGAUUUCUAGAGUUCCCAGUGACAAUAUUCUUGACACUACUGAACUCUGCACAUAAAGACUUAAGAUGAUCAGUUGUACAUUAGGUGCACCAUGCCAGAAUUAAAACUUUAAAAAUAAAAAUUUUUAAAAAUUUGCUUAGAAUGAAUCCCAUCAUAAAGUUUCUGUAAAUUUGGAAAACUUACAGUCUUUUUUUUUUUUAUACUCAGGAUUAAACCCAGUUUCAUACUUGCCAGGAAAUAGCCCAAAUGUCCAUCAAUCAACCAACAGAUAAAGAUGUGGUUUUUUUAUACAAUGGAGUACCACAGCCAUAAAGGGUGAGCUUGAGACAUUAUAGGUACGGAUGCACCUUGAGACCACACUAUUAAGUAACAUAAGUGAAGCACAUGUGUAAAUAUCACAUUGUAUCUCUGGUGUGAGAAACUGAGUGUAAAUAAGCACCAGAAUGUAUACCAGAUAUUUUAAAAUAGUAAGAAAAUGCUCAGGUGGGAAGAGGGAUGGGGAGAGGUCAAGGAAGCAAAGGGAAAAAGAGGGCAAAAUGGAAACCAAACUUUUUUUCCUCUCUUGGUACCUGGGAUUGAACUCACAAACCUGCACUUGCCAGGCAGGUACUUACCCGGCCUGGAAACAAAACUUUUGUACAGGAGGAGGGGAAGAGGGGCCGAAGGGAGGACAACGGGACAGGAAAAAACCAACUGAGAUAAGUCGUGUAAGGUACAGAGUCCCUAGGAUAAAAGUGAUCAAUGUGUAUAUUUAAAAUGGACCGGUAAACUUAAUUUUUAAAAAAGAAUAUAAAUAUAAAGUAAAAUAAAGCUAGAUGAUAGGAGAUAGAUCCCUUGAAGAAGGGAUGAGGCUCUGGGGAGGAAGAGGAAGGAAAGCAAACAUGAACUAAGAUGUGAUACAUAUACUAACCAGCUCCCCAGAAGGGAUGUAUUCAUUACAGACUGCAAACAUACAGCAAAAAGUGACACCCCAGAAAUACAAAUGAUCGCUAGGCACGGUAGCACACACCUGUAAUCCCAGCUCUUGGGAGGCUGAGGCAGGAGGAUCAACGAGAGUUCAAGUGUAGCCUCAACUACACAGUGAGUUCAAGACCAGACUGAACUUUAAAAAAAAAAAAAAAAAAAAAAAAAAGCCACUCACGGUGGCACAUGCCUGUAAUUGCAGCACUUGGGGGGCUGAGGCAGGAGGAUUGCCUCAAGUGCAAGGCUGGGCUGGGCUACAUAGUUCAGGAGCAGCCUGAACUAUACAGUGAGACCCUGUCUCAAAAAAAGAAAAGAAAAAAAAGUGAUCACAAAUUACAACUCUUAAAAAUUAUGACAAAAUGUUAGCAAUUCUCAGUCUUUUCAAAUGCUUCAAAAAGUUGAAGUAGAGAAAAUACUUUCAGCCCCAUUUUAUGAGAGCAACAUUACCCUGAUACUGAAGAUAAAGAUACUAAAAGAAAUGUAAAUUACAGACCACUACUCCAAUGAAUGCAGAUGCAAAAAUCCUCAAAAUGUAAGCAAACCAAGUCCAAGAAAACAUUAGAAGAAUCAUCCACCAUGACCAAAUAGGAUUUAUCUUUAGGAGUCAAGGAUAUUUCAACAUAUAAUCAAUACAUGUGAGUUGAAAAUUAUAUAAUUAUACUUUAAUCCACUUGAAUGGUUUCACACUGUCUUGAUAUGUUUGAAGCUAUAGUAUAUGAAGUUAUAUUCAAAUGUUUCAAGGAAAAAGAUACUAAGGUAACCACUAUUAAGUCAGGUUAUUUGGUGGUGAAGCACUGAGUUGCUGAAACUGUCAUGCUUUGACCUGUAUUGUUAUGUUGUUAUGUCCUCUUUUAUCUCAAUCUCUCCCUUAUUUAUUAGAAAAACUAUUUAUUCUUUUAUUUUUUAUUAUUUUUUUAAUUAAGGGGAAAAAUAAAAAAAAUUAGCAGGAUAUAUUGUAGUAACUUUUUUGAUUUCCUAUUAACUUGAUUUGAAGUCCUGAAUUACUCCCACUAUCUUGUUUUGACUGAUUAGACUCUGUUCCGUUCUGUUUGAUAGUAUCAAGUUUGAGGAUAUAGUCAACUACUUUGAAGGCAAUAAGAUUCACUAUGAUGCCCAUUCUGAUUUGACUAUUAUCUUCUUUUGAAGUCCUGUAAUGUUUACAAUGUUUAGGUUUUAUUGGUCUUGUUCUGUACUGUUUUGUUCAACUUUAUAACACCUAAUGAUAUAGGCAAUUCUUUUUAAGGAAGCAAGAGGCAUUAUGUUAACCAUUGUUGAUAACCUUGUACUGUUUUUACAUCAUGUGCUAUGUCUAUCCUUUGUUUUGACUGACUGCUUUGUUUUGUCAUAUUUGGUUUUAUUCUCUUUCAAAAAAAAAAGUAAUAAGAACUAUGGGAGUAAUAAAACCUAAAAUGCAUAAAUUUUGUUGUAAAAAAGAGAGGAAAAAAAGUGCUUUAAAGGUUACAACUGCAAGUGUGUUUAGGUGUGUUACGAUAGAUGACCAUAUUAUUGAGUUUUUGUUGUAGCAUUGAACACAACUGUUUGCAGUCUCACUGUUUGAAUGUCCACUUUGUAUGCUUUGAUCCUGUGACUUGAGCAACUAUUUCUAAGAUGACAAUGUGUAAUCUAUUAACUGGUGAUUUGUUUUUGUUUGUUUGUUUGUUUUGUUUUUUUGUAGUUCUGUAUUACUUAUACCCUUACACUGUUUCGUUUUGAUUUUUUUUUCCUUUUAAAUAAAAUUUUUUUAAAAAAUUAUAUAAUUAUCUCAAUAGACAAAAGCAUUUGACAAAAUUUAAUCAUUUAGUGUUAAUUUGGGGUCAACUUAGCGUUAACCAUAAUUUUUGAUAUUUAUGCUCUUUGAACCAUCAUGUCACGUUUCAAUAUCUAUAAUACAGAUGUGCGCAAAGAUAUAUGUGUGUGUGUGUUCACCCUAUAUUUUCUUUUGGUCUUUUUGAGACAGGGUCUCACUACACAGUUCACGCUGGCCUUGAGCUUACUUUGUAGCCCAGGCUGGUCUCAAACUCGCAGAGAUCCUUCUGCCUCAGCCUCCCAAGUGCUGGGAUUACAGGCGUGAGCCACCAUGCCCGGCUCCCCCUACAUUUUUAAUGGCAUAUAAAAUAGAAACAUUAUUUACCAACAUGGGAACAGAUUAAAAUGAAUGAUAGUAAUCUAUGAAUCAAAUACAUUGUCUUCAAUUUGUACUUCUAUUAGUACGUUUGCAGUAUAUAAUGAUUACAGUGUCAAAUACAUUUUUAAAAAGACUCCUCUGUACCUACACAGAGGCUUAGAAAGUUUUCUAAGACAUGGCUAGAUGAAAAAAAAAAAAAAAACAGUAUAGUUUGUUUGUUAUAAAUACAUAGUGAUGGACCGGGAAUGUAGCUCAGUGGCACAGCGCCUGCCUGGCCAGCGCAAGGUCCUGAGUUCAAUUCCUGUUACACAAGAGGAAAAAAAAAAUACAUAGUGAUAUGUGAAUGCAGAGGAAAAGGCCCAGAAAGAUCCAUAUCUUGUACUUUAUUGAAUAGUGUCCCCAAAAUUCAUGCCCCCUAGGUCUUCUGAAUGUGAACUUAUUGGGAAACAAGUCUUUGCAAGCAUAAUUAAAUAAAAUUGAGGUUUCAGUAGAUUUGUGUGGGUCCUAAAUUCAGUGCGUGGCUUCUUCAUAUGAAAUCCAUGUGGAGGGGAGGGCAGCAGCUGGAGAGACACAGCGAUAAGCAAACAUGGGACGAGAACUGGUGAAACCACCAGAAGCUAAGAGGGGCUACGGCACCGGCUCCUUCAGAGCCUCCAGGAUCAACUCUGUGGAGACCCUGAGUUCGGACUUCUGGUCUCCUCAACUAUAAGACAAUAUAUUUUUAUUGUCUUAAGAAACCCAGUUUGUAGUAAUUUAUUAUAGCACAUCAGCCCUAUGAAUUCAAUGCACACUGAUUAACAAUGAUUCAUUCUUUUAUUUUUUUAACAAUGAUUCAUUCUAAGGAGGGAAUUUGGUGAGAGUUAUCCAAGGAAGAUUUUGUGCUUGCAUAGAUAAUCUUUUUUAGGCAAUAAAUUAAGAUCAAAACUCAAUCCACAUUCUAUGCUGGAAGCUUCAAGUCUGCCAUUUAUCAGGUGUGCACCGGAGACUCUUAUCUAGCCAGAGCCCACUGGUAAAGGUUUUCAUUGUGAUAGACCUAGGCCUGUGCCUAGGUGUCAUUGUUAAAUAUUUUGAUAAUUGUACAAGUUAUUUUCUGUUGCUGUAACAACACACCUGAACUGAGUAGUUUUUAAAGUAUAGAAGUUUAUUUGAUUUGCAAUUCUGGCGGCUGGAGGCUCCAACCAGCAUGGCACUGGCAUUUUGGCAAGACCCCUUCCCACUGCAUUGAACUGUGACUCAGAAUUGGAAAGGACACCAUCAGUGUGCAGUAUGGGAAGAGCCAUGGACCUCAUCACUUCCCAGCAGGCUUUGCCUCUCAGUGCUUGUACCACAGCAACAAUCACUCAUGGCUGUGCAUAAGUUAAUGAUACGUUUGAAAGUGAUGCUUUGUCUCAUUGCAAAAUCUCUUAGACGAGUCUGCCAGAUCCAGGAAACAGAAAAGGAAAAUAAUAGUUUGUCAGUUUCCAAAGGUUUGGAGUGUAUCCAUCAGGACUCAGUCUUCAUAUAAACCAGAAGAUAUGCGGUUUCCUGCCUGGAAAGAAGAGAAAAAUGCAUAAGCAUAGCUAAAGGAAACAGUCACAGCGAAAUGAUACAUUGUGAAGCCGAGAUGGGGCAAGCAUGUGUAAACUCUAGUUAACGUCUAAAUUAGGAGGUGACAAAUCGGACGUAAGUUAGAUCAACCCCAUUUCUGCAAAUGAGUAGAACCGAGCCCCGUCAUAUUCACUGAUUCACACACGUCUGUAGCUUCUCUGUGCUGCAAGGCAGUAAUGCAUGGGGGACCAUGAUCCACAAAAUAAAAUCUGUUUCCUCCGGCCCUCCACAGAGCCAGUGACAGAAACCUCACAAAGACUGGGCAUCUAAGACAGAAAAAACAGAAAAAGCUUAGAAAAAAACGAGCAAAAGAUGAAAAACAGAAAGUAAAAGGAGAAUUUCAAACACAAAUUGUACCUAAUUUGUAGUUUUCCCAUGUUCACACCUGCCUCUACAACUGAAAAUCGUCUCUAGUAUCAUCUUUGAUAUACACUGUUACUCUUAACCUAGAAACUCAGUUAAAAAAAAAAACUUACUGGCUCUCUGCCUUGAUUUUAUCUAACUUUGUACUCUUCAGCUUCCCUUAUAGUUACUGAGUUUAAAAAAUAUUGAUAGUAUUAAAUUCAAGCCAAUUUGUCACACAAAGAAACAUUAAAGCAGGGGUCAUUUCUCCCCAAAGAUACGUGGUCUAGCAGAAGAGAAAGAUAGGCAAGCAAACAGUAUAAACUUACUAUAAAGGAGGGUUACUCAAGAUGCAACAAACCCCUACGCUACAAACCUACUCGGUCAAUCAGUAAAGGAAGGGGCUGCAGAGCUGGCAGAGCCCAUGAGUCCUGAACAGGAGGGAAAUGUGCUUCGAUGGUAAACCGGCAGAGGGCACUGCAGGCCAGAAACUGCGCAUGCAGAGACUCGGAGGAGACGGUGAAGGUGGCAUCUGCAUAAGGUCACUUUAUACUGCUGAUUGUUGCUGUGGCCUCAAUUGUGAGAAAACCGUGUUCCGGUGCAGUGUGUUGCAAGCUGAAGUGAAGAGUUAGUCCCAGAAAGCCACCCGCGUGUAAGCGGCAUCUGACCCCCCGCGAGUGUGGCCCAGCGCCGAGAGCCAGCAUGGGUCCACUCAUCUGCGUCACUGACGCACGUCUCUUACCAGCGGCAGCCGUGAUUUCCAUAGGUGCACUGGAUGUCCUUCCAGGACACCUGAAAGCGUGGAACAGAGGAAGUCAGCAACCGCCUGGCCCUGCUCUCACCUCUCAAGGUACCCUCAUUCACUGCUCUGGGCAAAGAAUCUGGGGCACCCCGCGACAGGAUGCCAUGUAUAAUGAAGCCUAUUUCAUAUCCUUGCUCUUCGGUUUACAUGUGGCUAUGCUUGUCCCAGAGCGGUCACUACACAUUUCUAAGUCUUCUUGCUUUACAGAACUCUUCCACAGAACAUGAACCUGCAGGCCACUGAGCCUACAGCACCAGAUCCAAGACAGCGGAGUGAGUAGACUCUCACAGCGCUGAAAACUCCAUCAGGAUGGCAUGCAGGAAGGAGCCACCACCCUCUUAAGAAGUCCCCCCACAGAGAGAAAACAGAAACAGUGUUUGGGGCUCAGAAUUUACUAGAGGCAGCUAAAGCAGGACAAGAGGCACUUUGGGAUAAUGUUUCUCACCCAACAAACAUGGGAGUCAUUGAAGCAGAACCAUUUUCCAUCCAUUGGAUUCCGGAUGUAGGCGCAGUAGUGACCAAAGUCUGCCAUCCCCAUGUGGGCGAUCACAGCAAAGAGUUCAUACUGUGCUUCAUCCUGCAAGAAGAUGAGGCACACAGCGAUUCACCCCUUACCUCUCCUUCGGCAGUCCUAGUUUGGAAUAAAGAAAGGUUAUCUCACCACACAUUUAUUGAUCGACCAUGCCAGGUGGUGGUCCUUCACUGGUACUAGAAUAAAGGGAAGCUGCCCCAGGGAAGGCCUGAUUGAGCUGAUCUUGAUAACUGGCAGAUAAAUGGUGGGAAGGGAGUAUUUUUUUAAUGCAGACUCAGGCAUUGCAAAGACUCAGCAACAAACAAAAGUAGAGAGUCCAGAGGAUGUGGAGCUCAGGAAGGGGGCUGAGGUCCCCAGGAGUGAGGCUGCACAGACCAAGUUAACAAGCCAGGCAUGAUGGUGCACCCCUAAUCCCAAACACUCGGGAGGCUGAGGCAAGAGAAUCUUGAGUUUGAGCCCAGUCUGGACAAUAAAAUGAGAUCUCAUAUCACAGGCGGGGAGUGGGAGAGAGGAGAAGGCCGAGGAAGAGGAGGAGGAGGAGUUUGUUCCAUGCAUGGCUGGGAAUCGUCAGAACAUCUUAGGAAGAGAAGCAACAUCAGAUUGAUUUUUGAGAAUCAUACUGAAACAAUGUAAUUUGAAAAAUGAAUAAAAAAUUCAAAUGUAACAGAAACCAAGCAGAUAAGUCAGGACACUGCACAUGGAGGAAGGGUGGUAGACACUGUCACUGGUAGUCAUUAAAAUGAUAAUGAUUGCUAUUAGCAAAUGACAUUUCACUUAACACUCAUAGCAUCCCUUUGAGCUGGGUGCUAGUCUAAGUCUUACUCUACAGAGGCAGAAUCUGAACUCUGAGAGGUAAAGUAAAUUUCCCAAGGCCAAAAGCUCUAAACAGAAGAAGCAGGAUUCCAGCUGAGCCUGACUGCUCAGAACCCACACUGAAGAUGGAGAUGCAGGGAUGGAUUUGUACAAAUUAGGUAGAAAUAACUAAACAUAUCUGGUAACUAACUAGGUUGAGGACAGAAGUUGGAAGAAUAAUAAAAAUGAAUCUUAGAUUUCUGCUUAGGUGUUAGGGUCACAUUGAAACUAUACAGCCAAAUACAGAACAGAGGUGUUUGGAAUGAAGAUCAUGAAUUGAAGACUGACUUCUACAUGAAAAUAGUAAGGAGGUAAAAAUACUGGCGUGGAGCUCAAGAAGAUACAGACUUGGAAAUCUUCAGUUUGAAGCAAAUAUUGAAAUCCUGAGAAUUAGUGAAAUGGUAUUUGAAAAGAAAGAAAAAGAAUAGAGCUGAAAAUUAAAUAUCCAUGAAAUGAUGGGCAGAAAAGGGUCCAGCAGGGGAGAAAGAAACCCUUGGAGAGAAACCUAGGAGAGAGAUCUUUAAGGAGAGUCCGUAACAUGGCACAUCACAGAGAAAUCUCAGGACAAGACCCAGAAGUAUCUAGUGCAUAUGGCAGGGAACCCUUCUUAUUCUUCAAAGCCUUGGAAAAGCAAAAUAAAAGGUAACUCUGCAAAAAGGCAGCGGCGCUGAGAGAAAUUCUCAGUUGAUCAUGACAGGGUCUCAUGGCUGACAGGGAGCCAUCAGAGAACACGUAAAGAAGACGAUAACCAAGAAUUGCUUUUUUCACCCCAAAAAGUCAAACCCACAGAAGCAGAGCAUGGAAUGGUGAUCACCAAGGACUGGAGCGACCUGUGUCACAACAGGACCCAUUUACAUUAUCAGAUCUUAAGUUUUUAAAUACCAUGCAGCAUGAACAAACAAACAGACCAAUGGAACAACCAACAUUCUAAAAAUAGAUUCAGGCAGGGGAUAUAGCUCAGUGGCACAGCACAGCCUGGCAAGUUUGAGAGCCUGAGUUUGAUUCCCAGUACCCAUAAAUAAAUAAAUAAAUAAAUGUAAAAACAGGUUCAGUCAGGCACACUUGUAAUCCCAGCACUUGGGAGGCUGAGGCAGGAGGAUCACUUCAAGUUCAAGGCCAGUUUGGACUGCAAAGUGAGUUCAACGCCAGCCUGACCUACAUAGUGAGAUCCUGUCUCAAAAUAAAUAAAUAAAAAUUAAAACAGAUUCUAUGAAAUGUAGCAUUUCAUACUUAUGGAGAAGAGAUAUUUAUGACACGUUUUUCCUCAGUCUUUCAAUAAGUGAUUAUGUCAAACAAUUGAUCUAAACCUUUUUUUUUUUUUUUUGGUACCAGGGGUUGAACUCACGACUUUGUGCUUAGCAGGCAGGUGCUUAUGCUGCUGAGCUAAAUCCCCAGCCUGAUCUAAACUUUCAUGUGAUUAAAUUUGGCCCAACCCAUGGGUUGGACAAUAAAAACAAAUAAAUAAAUUUGGUCCAGUCAACUGGCUAAUUUCUUAUUAUCCUCAGGGUAAGUUAUGGUUGUUUUAAUGAGAAAGUUUAGUUGAUACUAUACUUAGAACCCCAAAUAGCCUAUUUACUUAUGUAUUUUACAUGCUAUUUCAGAAGGCAAGUAUUGAAUUUAAGUUCCCUCCCUUCGUUCUGUGAGGCAUUUAUCCACACACCCCCUAGCUAAAACUAGGAAGGUUUUUGCACUUUAAAAGAAAAGAAAAGCCACUAUAACCAACAAAGGCUAGAGGAUGACAGUACAGUGACAACAAAUUACCACCAUUAGCCACGAGCAGAUAGGUUUCCACUGUUAAAGCAGCUUAAAGAACAAGAGUGUCCUGAAUAUGUGUUCUGUGAGUCACACCAAGGUGUGGCUGGUUCCCAAACGUGCAGGGGACAGGAGGUCCUGGGUGAGAGGUGACACAGAGGACACCAGCCUCACCGAUUAGGCCAGUGUUUGUCCAGCAUCAGGACACUCAACUCUGCCUCAUAGUCUGGAACCUACUACCACAGCAUGGCCUUGGUGAGAACCUGGAGCUAAAGAACCUAGGGCUCUGCAAGUUGGCGGGCAGGAGGAGGCUGAAUCUCCAGGGUGUGGUGUGGGUUAGGAUUGAUGAGGACAGAAGGGGACCUCUUACCUGUUCCUCUGCUUCAGUAAUGGGCUGCUCACUAGGAAGAACCUGACCGAAAUCCAAGCUCUCAGGGAAACACAGCGAAUGGCAGACCUUUUCUGUCCUUGAGUUCUUGAUGGAGAAUCGCCUGAGGUGGAUGGUCAGGGUUUGGGGCAACCGGGUCACCUUCAAGGCCUUAAAAACACAAAGUCACUGAGAUCGAGUCCUCAGACUCGAUCUUGAAAGGAACACAGGGCUGGGUGGCACGUUCUUGUCACCAGUGCAAGGAGAUAUGAUCCAAAGUUAGAGGCUCGUCCUUUGCACCUCAUCCUCUGAGACCACGCGACACCUGACUAUCUCACCACUGCAAGCCCCCCACAAAGGCACAGGUGACUCCCAGGUUCUGCACAAGUGCCCAACACAAGGAAACUAUGCAGUCUAUAGUAGGGAGUUGGUCUAACCAUGAGAGAAAAAUCCUACCCAUCACUCUUGGACCUUCUCCUCUCCUACGAGCCUCUGAUCCUCUCGGUGAUGUGAUCUGAGAAGCUACAUACAAAGCUCUGGAAACCAGAAGCCCCAGGAUCCAGACUAGUGCCUGACCUAGAUUCCCUCCCUCAACUAUGACAAGGGGCCCUCAGGGCUUUGGAAGACUCUAUGGCAAAAUCCUCUAGGGGCAAACCCAGACCAGUGAAACAUUUGCAUUUCGGGGAUGAGUACCUGUUUCCUGUGUGUCUUCCUCCCACAGUUCUGACAGAAGCAUGUGCUUUUGUUGCAUAGCUCCUUGGACUGGAAGAAAUAACUCAGGGCAUCCUCCUGUCCCACCAGAAGAACAAAAAAUGGGUAAGGUUGGUGUUUCCCAUCCUCACACAUCCUGCUAGUGGGGACUCAAGCUUUGCAUCUGAUUUUUGUCAUAUGCCCCAAAUGUUUGGCCUGGUGUGGCCCAUUUGGCAGGAUUUCCUAGAGAACCCACAGACUGAAAGAACAAAACGAAAGCUGGGGAGACACUUGUUAAGGGGACAGUGCAAGGAAAGUGGCAGUAGGAGGGUGUCGUGGCUUGUAUCUAGACGUCCCCCAAUCCCAUCAACCCUCAUGCCGUCAUAGGGGGGCUUUUUCAGAGGAGGCUGGACCUAGAGUGUGUGACGCUGGAAUUGAUUCAUGGCGCAGUGCUAGGAUCAAGGGCCCUGGAAUUACGAGUGUGAGUGCUGCCCGCCCUGAGCAGCCUGGAUAAGAUCAAAGGGACAGAAAGGGCUGUGGUCAUGCCUCGUAACUUCUGUCCUGUUUCUCCUCUGAGAUGCCACCCUGUCUUGGAGCCAGCUACUAUGGACUGAAACCUCCAGAAACUGUGAGAUGGAUAAUUCUUUCCUCCCUAACUUUGGGUGGUGGGUAUUUUGUCUCAGCAAUGAAAAAGUAACUAAGAGGGGAAAAGGAGAAAUGGACCAUAGCCAUGCAAAUGAAAUUUAUUUUUUUUAAUGUCAAGAAACUUUCAAAACAAGCAGGGGCCAUGGCAGGCAAGGUUGUACAAAUUCACCAAGACGUUUCUCACCAGUGUUCUAAGGGGUUCUGAGUUCAUAUCAAAAAGAGAAAGAGGGAGGGUCAGCAAGCUGCUGUCUCUGCUGCUCUCCGUGGCACAGUCUAAGCACACCAAGAUCUCCUUCACCCGGAUGGUGUACAAGUCCUGCAGCCUCUCUACCUGUAGAGAGAGGAACAGACAGGGAAGACAGACAUGAAGUUGCAGACCAGCUCAGGCCAGCUUCCAGAAUUCUGUCUAGAAGCUCUAGAAGUAAAAACCACUACACAUAAAGGUACAGAAGAGUAACAGGAAUUAUGCUAUUCACUUGAGCCUCUGUAGAUUAAGUCCUUUAUACCUCUGUACACAUUUCAUAAACAAUUAGCUGAGUGACUUCCAUAAGCAGCAUCCUAAAUUUCUGAGUUUUUAAUUCCAGGUCCUUACCAAAUCUGCAUCAGUGAUUUGGUCCUUGAUUAGGUUCCAGACUGUGAGAUAGAGUUGAGCAGCAUCGUGCUGGACAAACACUGGCCAGAGAGAAGCAACAGCAGUCAGUGAGGUCACCAGAGCUUCUCGUGCCUGACUUACCGUGACACUAACCUGCCAUGCCUAGCCUCCCUCUGCUCCAGAAAAGGGUAAGUUUUUUCACCAAAUGUGAGGUGCCCGAUAAAUGAAAAGUAAGUUUGGUACGGAUUUUUUUAUAGUGCCAAAAUCACAAAUUUUACCGCAGAUGUAACUGUUAAACAAAUGUACCAAAGAGCACAGCAAGUAUCUGUAUAAAGAAAAAUUACAGAAUAUUCAAGCACAGAAGCCAAAAAGGGAAACAGAGAUGCCUACUCCUGCUGUCUGUAUCAGAGGACCUUCAUGUCCAGUUACAUCUACGUAGCUCUCCAUGCGUCAACAAUUUAAGCAUAAUGAUGGACAAUUCACCAUAGGUCUCUGAGUCUUCAAUCCGAAGGGCUCCACACCACAUAAAUCUAUAAUCAAGUAUAUAAAAACUGUUCUUCUCAUCACUAUUUCAUGAAAGAGGAAAUCUGAAACAAAAAUACAGCAUUUUGGGGCUGGGCUCAGCGGCAUAAGCGCCUGCCUUUGCAAGCAGGCAGUCGUGAGUUCGAUCCCUGGUACCAAUAAAAAGGAAAAAGACAAAAAAAAAAAUACAGCAUUUUAUGUGAUAAAAUUGAAAGUCUAGAUAAGAUCAAUGAUUUUUCUAAGCAACAAUUUACCAAAAAUUACCCACUAAAAACAGAACAGCAAAGGAGACAAAUGUUCAUAUAAAAAACAAAUACAAAAAAAAAAUCUCUGAGGCAGAAUGAUUUCAUAGGUAAAUUUCGCUGAACUGAUGGUGUGGAUUUGUGAGAGCGCAUCUUAAAACUGAAGCCACAGGCUGGGGAUUUAGCUCAGCAGCAUAAGCGCCUGCCUUUGCAAGCAGGCAGUCUUGAGUUCGAUUCCCGGUACCGAUAAAAAGGAAAAAGACAAAAAAAAAAAAACUGAAGCCACAGUCCCAUUAUGUGACAGUUUCCCACUCUGUCAUUCUCCAGCCAGCUCUCCUGGCCCCUACAAGGGCCCAGCCUGACAGCACCAGGAACGCCCUCCUAUGUUACCACUGUGACCAAGCAUUUCUCUGGCCCUUGAUGUACUUUCUACCCACUGCAUUAAAACCUGAGCAGUUGCCCAGUUCUUGCAUCUGACUCCGGUUUCCCCAAAUGGGCACAAGAAGACAAGGAGGGAGGGCCCGUCUUGGUCUCAUACGACGCAGGCUUAGAGGGAGCCAGAACCUGGCCGUGAAUUCCGCGCCUGUCACAGGUAAAUGUCAGGUUGCAACUGAUGUGAAUUUACCAGUAUUGUUAUAAGGAGGACUAAGAAGUUUCAGGACAUGAAAGACACACUGAAGACUAUUUUCCAAAGGGAUAGAUAAGUGUCAAAACGCAAAGACACUGCAAGAAAAGGUGGUCACUAAAAAUGUGCUAUAUCUGGCAUCUCCACCCCAUUUUCCUUCCUUAAUAAUACCAGCUCUUCUCCCUGACAUUUUUUAGCUGACUUUGUUUCACUUUUGCUUUUGGCCUCAUUGCCUCUAACUGACAGCUCCGGGGAGGCAGACUCUGCCCACCUUGUUUCCUUUUGCCCUGCAACACCACAAUGCCUGGCACUCAACAGAGGACCACCGUCUAGCAGCUGAGAAGAUUAAUCAAUCUGCUCUCCAACACAGUGAACCUGAAGCUCAAAGACAGUCUAACAGGAUUCCGCUGAUGCCGCCUGGUACAGAGGGUUCCUGCCGCAGAGCUGCCGCUCAAUGCAGGGGAUCAGAUCAUGUUGCCAUAGAGACAGUGUGUCCUCCCUGGCCCUCCCAGAACCAAGAGCCCCAGUCACCUAAGGAAGACAAGGACCCGCACCUAUCCCACUGUGUCCCACGCCCGGCAUCACACAAGGCGAAGACAGCUCCUGUCCCCGAGUGUCCUGUAUGGUAUUCUAAUGGGGGACAGCAUUGAAAUAAUUGUGAGUCAAACAAAGAGAAGAAAACUUACUGUAGGGAGCUAAAGGAAGGUGGGGAUACAACUGAAGUAGAAGUGACAGUCUUCAUAAAACUGUCUUUUUGAGACAGGGUCUUUCUAUGUGGUGCAGGCUGGCCUUGGGCUCACUUUGUAGCUUAGGCUGGUCUCGAACUCGCAGUGAUCCUCCUGCCUCAGCCUCCCAAGUGCUGGGAUUAAAGGCAUGAGCCACCAUGCCCGGCUUGCAACACUCUUUAUAAUAGCUAAAAAUGUAAACAAUCUAAAUGUCCAUGUAAGGAUGAAUGAAUUUUUAAAAUGUGUACAUAUACAACAGGAAAUUAUCCAACAAUGAAAAAGAUGAAAUACUGCCAUAUGCAGCAACAUGGAUGGAACUGGAGAACAUUAGGUGACAUAAAUCAGGCAUCGGAAGACAAGUACCACAUGUAAUCAAUUAUAUGAAGAAACUACACAGUUGACUUCAUAACAUGAGAAAAUAGAAUAGUGGUCAAUGGAGAACAGGAAAGGAAGAAUGAAGGGGAACGGAGGGAGAUGGUAUUAUAGGUAUUCUACCUAUCAAUUAGGUAGAAAGAAAAAGGUCUAAUGGGCUCAGCGCAGUAAGGAAACCACAGGUCAUAACCAUUACUGUAUAUAUUUUAUAUAAUAAAUACAAAUGAAUUCAAAGUUUCCUAACACAAAGAAAGCACCUAACAAAGGAAAACACUGAUUAUUGUGAUUUGACCAUUACAUGCUGGGUAAAUAUAUCACAUGGUCACCCUAAACCCUUUAAAUAUGUGCAGUUAUGCUUCUUUUAAAAGAAAACUACUUUGCUGAGGAUUUAGCUCAGCGGCAUAAGCACCUGCCUUGCAAGCACCAAGCAGGCGGUCGUGAGUUCAAUCCCCGGUACCGAUAAUAAAUAAAUAAAUAAAAAUGAAAAAAAGAAAACUACUUUAAAAACUAGUAAUAUUAAAAAAACUAGUAAUAUUCAAAAUAUUCACAAAAAUGCCUAUUAAAAUAGGCUUUUUUCUUUCCUCUUCUUUUGCAUUUUUUUUUUUUUGAGUCUAUGUUGUUCAGACUGGCUUUGAACUCGCUAUGUAGACCAGGCUGGCCCCAAACUCACUGUGAUCCUCCUGCCUCAGCCUCUCCAAUGCUGAGGUUACAUGUAUGAGCCACCACACCUGACUAAGCCUCUUUCUUUUAAAAGUAAAAAUAAAAAUAAAAACUACCUCAGACCCCACCCACUACGCCCACCCCAAGUAGUCUAGCGUCCACUUGUUUCCUUCCUGUUCGCCCAUGAGCUUGCCCGCCCCCCCACCCCUUAGCUCAGCAGGCGGCAGCCAGGUCUCACGUGGCACGUUGUUCUUCUGCAGGCAGUAGGCCAGCUCCGUGGGCCGUACCGCCUUCUGCCGGCUGUCCUGCAUCUUCUCCAGCAGCAGCAGCAUCUGGAAGGGGACACUUCUCUGCUCUUCUGAGACCUUCGGCACUGUUAUCCUGCCAAGCAAGAACAGCAGGGACAUCCUGAUCAGAGACACACUGGGUCACCUGGAAAACCUUAAAAACCUCCAUGUCCUGGCCACUCAGGAAGAAAAUCUGAAUUCUGGGGAUGAAACCAGGUGACUUAAAUGGGGAACCACAGCUCAGAACCACUAAGUCAAUGAAACAGCUGUGCAAAGUACUCUCUCAAGAGGGGGAUUUGAAACAACUGCUGCCCUGUGCCCUACAUGCCCAGCCACACUGCAACCCGGGCAGAUGCCCCAGGCUCCGGAUCUGCAUGCGGGCGGGUGGAUAAAGGUCUCACCGGGAGCACUGAACAGCAAAAAAUGAGUUACGAAUGGUAGUGCGGGGAUGAGGAGUGUUUUAGCAAUGAUUCAUUUAAUUGUAGGAAUCUCUUGAUCACUCCUGCCAAUGAUGGGGGAAAGAAGGAAGCACAGGUCAAGAAGAGAGAGACAGUGUGUGUACACGCUUUCAAUCCCAGUGUUUUUGCUCCUGACUUUCAUCUAAUCCCAAAUCCUUUUUAACAAAACCAGUGGCCCUCUAUUUCUCCUGUACUUUAAAGUCACUCGGGGAGGAGCCUUUUACAAAGUAUCAAGGCCUGAUUACCCACCCAGACCAACUGACACCAAACAACUGGAGGUUAUUUUAAAACUUGCAUGAAUCUAAGGAGUAGUCCAGAAUGUGCAGAAAAGGAUCUUUUCUCUGGCAACUUGAGAAAGAAGACUUCUAAAGUCACAGUGAAAACCUGAAUAUUUAAAAACAUGAAAUAGUACACAUGCUUCUCAGUCCCAAUAGCAGGCUUACCUCUUCAGUAUCUUGGUAAAGUCCGUGUUCAUUAUGAACACCUGGAUCAAGGAGUUAAGGCAACAGGUCUGUCCAAUGUUGUGUAAACCAACCAGGCCUAUAACAGGAGAGAAAUGUCCUGAGGGCUAGGCCAGGCAUGGUGACACAUACCUGUAAUCCCUGCACUUGGGAGGCCGAGGCAGGAGGAUUGCUGAGAGUUCAAGGCCAGCCUGGGAUACAUAGUGAGCUUAAAACUAGCCUAAACUGCAUAGUGAAACCUUGGUUUAAAAAAAAAAAUUCUGAGGGCAAGGGCUAAAGAACUUGACAAAAAUCGGAUGCUUUUCUAGAGUCUACUAAAGCCAUGAAAUCCUACAAAGGGAACUUGCAAACAAACUGGGGAGGAAAUAUCAAGCAAAAACCUGUGCAAAGGUGCAGAAAUGGAGGCGCAGUGGUCAGGGUCCAUUAACCGGAAAGCUGUGAGAUGGGAAGGAGACCGACAGGCGCUACUGACCAUGAUGGUGGUCCCAGGUACUGAGUGGUCCCGGCUGCUCUCUCUUCCUCUUCAUGUCGCUGUCCUCGCCCUUCUUCUCCAAGGAUUCUCCUGAACACUGCUGGGACUCAGCCAAGGUUGACUGGCAGGUGUCUCCCAGGAACCCAAACGUCAUGCCCAUCUGGAAUUGCUCCAAAGCUCCCAGGGCAAGGCUGCCUGGCCUGUCCAGGAGGAGCUCACGGGUCCGGAUGCGAUGGAACCCUUUGAAGACACAUGGCAGGGCAGGUCGAUAAGGAUAUGACAGGGACAAAGUGUAUUUAUGGUGGCGGCUCUGAGUUCAAAGAGCCAAGGCCUCCAGGUGGUGACGGUCUGGGGAGACUGGAUCAUAAAACGCUUUAUGGCUGGAAAUCACACCGAAAUUGCACUGCUCUUCUUCAGAGUAGCCAAAGCCACCUUCCUCCCCCCAGAUUCUCCCCUCUGGUAAAUGGCGUGGCAUCCACCAAGGGGCCCAGACCACAGAGCUGAGUGUCAGCUCUUCACUGCUCCUUCAGACGCCAUGACUAUCGAUUCCUCUGCUUAAGGGCCAUUCAUAAGCAAGUUCCUGGCUACCCACACCCGUGACUUCAGUUUUAUACCUACAGACAUCCCAGCCCCAACAAAUCACUCCUGCUCCCUGGGAGCCCGUUCUCUGCCCUCCAGGGGCCGGGGUGUUUCCCAUCCUGCCACGCACCUGGUACACACAGCUUGUUUGAGUAAUGGCUCCCUGUGCCUACUUCAAGGAGCAUCUGUCUGCCAUGGAUGUGCCAGUUCUCCACUCAUUCAGACACCUAGGACCCAGGCUGAGAGCAGCAAGGUUGGCUGACAGCAUUCCAGCCUCUUACACAACCAGAGGUCCACACGCAUAACAAAAUCUUAGCUAUAAAGGAGGAUGCAGAAAAACCCAGUGCUCGAGUCCCCUGUUUCUCACUCCCUCCUGACGAUGCAGACCUUUGCCACCCGUAAAUCCUCCCGACAUAUUUUGCAAACCAAGGAAGGGGUGUCCCAUGGACAAGACAGUGGGAAACUGAGUUUGCUAAAGAGGAAAGGGCACAAAUUGAAAUAGGGGGUGUCCUGAGACACAGCAGCUGAUGCUCGGCAGAUCCCAUGUUGGGGAAAGAGGAUGUGGAGAAAGUACAUGCAAAAGACUAAGCAGAUUUGAAUAAGAAAAGCUGAACUAAAAACCAAUGACUGUAUAAAUGUUUCAGAAUUUUAACUUUAUAAAAAAUAAACUGGUUAACAAAUAGUCCUGGAAGCUCAAAUUAAGACCAUAAUGAGGUACCAUUGUACACUACUCAUCUGAGAACAACCAGGAAUUCUAGUAGAAUCUGUUCAUUACACCUCAUACACCUACUGAAGUGCCACACUGUAACCUAUAACUGUGCAUAACUUUUAUAUGUCAAUUUAAAUCAUACUGUACGUAUAAAAGAAUUCCGAUUAAAUCAAGUGUUCGGGGAAUGUGGAUAGACAGGAUUUUUAUAUUCCACUAGGUGAUGGGUAUAAUAUGGUCUAAGCACUUGGGCAAAUAAUUUGGUUCAUUGUGUAAAAUUAAAUAAACACUUAACUUCACCUGUUAAA